This 254-nucleotide ribosomal RNA is filed under the name uncultured bacterium. RNAcentral's name for it is "partial 16S ribosomal RNA". It matches the Rfam family "Bacterial small subunit ribosomal RNA", at positions 524 to 776 of the family's 1533-position model. The record is from RNAcentral.
UACGGGGGGAGCAAGCGUUGUUCGGAUUUACUGGGCGUAAAGGGCGCGUAGGCGGUCAGUGCAAGUCAGUUGUGAAAUCUCCGGGCUUAACUCGGAACGGUCAACUGAUACUGCUCGACUAGAGUGCGGAAGGGGCAACUGGAAUUCUUGGUGUAGCGGUGAAAUGCGCAGAUAUCGGGAGGAACACCAAUGGCGAAGGCAGCUCGCUGGGACGGUACUGACGCUGAGGCGCGAAAGCGUGGGGAGCAAACAGG